ACAGAGGGUGCGAGCGUUAAUCGGAAUUACUGGGCUUAAAGGGUGCGUAGGUGGGUCCGCAAGUGCCCUGUGAAAUCCCCCGGCUCAACCGGGGAACUGCGGGGCAUACUGCGGGUCUUGAGGAAGGUAGGCGCCGAGGGAACAGUAGGUGGAGCGGUGAAAUGCGUAGAUAUCUACUGGAACGCCGAUGGUGAAGACGCUCGGCUGGGCCUUUCCUGACACUGAAGCACGAAAGCGUGGGGAGCAAACAGGA
This 253-nucleotide ribosomal RNA is filed under the name uncultured prokaryote. RNAcentral describes it as "partial 16S ribosomal RNA". It matches the Rfam family "Bacterial small subunit ribosomal RNA", at positions 525 to 777 of the family's 1533-position model. The record is from RNAcentral.